AGAACGAACGUUGGCGGCGUGGAUUAGGCAUGCAAGUCGAACGCGAAAGUCGGGCUUCGGUCCGACCGGUAGAGUGGCGAACGGGUGAGUAACGCGUGGGCAAUCUACCCUUGAGUGGGGAAUAACCAUUCUAACGAGUGGCUAAUUCCGCAUGUGUCGGUCUUGUCGCAUGGCGAGACCGGCAAAGGUGGGGACCCUUAGGGGCCUGCCGCUCGAGGAGGAGCCCGCGUCCCAUUAGCUUGUUGGCGGGGUAACGGCCCACCAAGGCGACGAUGGGUAGCCGAUCUGAGAGGAUGACCGGCCACACUGGGACUGAGAUACGGCCCAGACUCCUACGGGAGGCAGCAGUCGAGAGGCUUCGGCAAUGGGGGAAACCCUGACCGAGCGACGCCGCGUGCGGGAUGAAGGCUUUCGGGUUGUAAACCGCUGUCAGGAGGGAAGAAUCCCUUCGUGUUAACACCACGAGGGUUGACGGUACCUCCAAAGGAAGCUCCGGCUAACUCCGUGCCAGCAGCCGCGGUAAUACGGAGGGAGCGAACGUUGUUCGGAUUCACUGGGCGUAAAGGGCGUGUAGGCGGCUUGGUAAGUCAGGGGUGAAAUCCCGCGGCUCAACCGCGGAGUUGCCUUUGAAACUGCCGAGCUUGAGGCCGUGAGAGGAGACUGGAAUUCCCAGUGUAGCGGUGAAAUGCAUAGAUAUUGGGAAGAACACCAGUGGCGAAGGCGAGUCUCUGGCACGGAUCUGACGCUGAGGCGCGAAAGCUAGGGGAGCAAACGGGAUUAGAUACCCCGGUAGUCCUAGCCGUAAACGAUGGACACUAAGUGUCGGGAGAUCGACCCUUUCGGCGCUGAAGCUAACGCGUUAAGUGUCCC
Molecule: ribosomal RNA, 870 nt
Filed under: uncultured bacterium
Lineage: Bacteria
Description: bacterial SSU rRNA
Rfam family: Bacterial small subunit ribosomal RNA
Source: RNAcentral